Macaca fascicularis (crab-eating macaque) is the source of this 2899-nucleotide long non-coding RNA. NCBI's taxonomy places the organism in Eukaryota, Metazoa, Chordata, Mammalia, Primates, Cercopithecidae. The record is from Ensembl.
UGGUUUAUAAACAAGGGACCUUUAUUUAUUAUAGUUCUGGAGGUUGAAAAAUCAAGAUCAAGAUGUUGGUAGAUUUGGUGUCUGGUGAGGACUCUCUUCCGGACUUGCAGAUGGCUGCCAUCUUUCUAUAUCCUCGUAUGGCAGAGAGAGUGCUAUGGUCUGAGUGUUUGCAUUUCUCCAGGAUUCAUGUGUUGAAGCCUAUCCCCAGUGUGAUGGUAUUAGGAGGUGGAUCCUUGGGGAUAAUUCAGUUGUGGGAAUGGAGCCCUUAUGAAUAGGAUUAGUGCCCUUAUAAAAGAGACCCCAGAGAGCUGUCUCGCCCCUUCCACCGUGUGAAGACACAGCAAAAAAAAGUACUGUUUAUGAACCAGAAGGUGAGCCCUCAACAGACACUGAAUCUGCUAGCACUUUGAUCUUGGACUUUCCAGCCUCCAGAAUUGUGAGUAAUACAUUUCUGUUGUUCAUAACCCACCCAGUCUGUGGUAUUUUAAAAUAACAGCCUAAAUGGACUAAGAAAGAGAGUGAGAUCUUUCUUCCUCUUCUGAUAAGGGCACUAAUCCCAUGACGAGGGCCUGAUCCUCAUGACCUCAUCUAACUCUAAUUACCUUCCAUAGGCUCAUGUCCUAAGUAUCACCACAUUAUGAGGUAGGGCUUCAACAUAUGAAUUUUGGGGGAGCUCAUCAAUCCAUAGCAGACACCCAGAAGCAGGCUUUGUUGUGUUGUUAACUUCCCCUGAAGAUACUUCCUGCUGUUCUGCAAAUAGAUAUUGAAUGAAAUAAGACUUAGAGGGAGGCCUCUUCCACUUGCCAUCUCUCCACCCAUCUCACCCCUGCCUGAGUGUUGCAAUCCCUACCUUGCAUCAUGAAAGUCAGAGGUGGGACCCCACUGAAGACCUGGGUUCAACUCCUGACCUCCCCACUUCCCAUCACGACAGUUUAGUUUGUCUUUCCAGCUCCAGGCAUCUUAUUUAAAAGUGACCUGGCAGGGGUGUUGGGAUGGGUGCGCAGGAUUUAAAUAUACAGACUGCAUGGUAUGUAGAAGAUCAAAAGAGGAAGGUUUCUCAGAGGGAUGCCACCACCUUCAAAUGCCUCUGCUCAACUCCUGGUACUCAGCAGGGUGAGUAUUUUUAUUCCUGUUUCGCAGAUGAGGAGACUGAUGCUAAGAGACUUUUGCUGAUUUGCCUGAAGUCAUAUAACUAGUGAAUAGCAGACCCUAAAUUCUGAGCCAGGGCUCCCAGCUCAUGGCCAGAACCUUCCUCACUGUGCUACAUGGCCCACAUCAUCAGAGUCAGGUAGAGACCCUCUCUGAGCCAGGCUCCCUAUAGUGCCCCAGCCCCCAUGUUGGGAAGACCCUCCCCACACCCUGCUCCCUAGAGAGCCCUGUAUUUGUAACAAGAUCCCAAAGAAGCAUCCCAUGCCCAGAGCUGGUCGGGAGACUGCCUUCUUGGUGACGUCUUCCUUGAGUGCCAGUGGGGAGGGAGGAAAGCGGGCAGUGGGGUCCACCACCCUUGGGCAUUUGCCCAUUCUCACCAUGAUGCACAGGAUACUGAGAACCACUCCCCAAAUGGAUAGAGGUGAGAGAAGAGAGGCCCAAUGCUUUCAUACAUUCCCGAUCCCCUUUCCUGGAAAAUAUGGAAGGAUCAGAGCUCUCACCCUCCAAUUCAGCUCACAAGGCUGGGGCCGAGCUCCAUCUGCAUCUCUGGGUGCCCAGAUCGGUCCUGCCUUUGUGCCUUACCUGAAAAUGGAUGCCGUGCAACAGGACAAUGACAACACAGGGACAUGAGAUUAAAUACAGAAAUAAGCAUUGCAGGCAACAAGGACCCCAGAGGGAGGGGUCUGGAAGGCCUGGAGCAGUCAGGGAUGCCUUCCAGGAGAGAUGUGGCCUGAGCUCAUCCUGGGAGAAUGAGAAGGGAGGAUGACGGUCUUCGAGGAAGCAGAAAGACAAGCACAGCCUUGAAAGGCAGGGAUAACAGGGAUAAGUGUGUGGGCUGCUCACACUGUCCUACACAUCACAUGCCCAGAGUUUGCCCUAAGAAUGCACCCCUCCCAGAUGAGAUCUGAAUUUUCUGGAAGCCCCAAGAGCUGUCCCCCCAGGGCAGCGAUGGUGGGCGUCUCAGUGUGGUGCAGUGCCAGGCAGGGCCCCAGGCUCCCCGCCCUUCGGUGCCGCACGGCCAGUGUUCAUUAUUCUCAGUCCUCCCCUAGCUCUGCCCUCCUGGAGAGGAGAGCAUUUUCCAGGACAGGUUUCAGAGACAGAAGGACAAGGGCCUCCUAGGGAGGGGACAGUGGCUCCAGAUGCUGGCCUUGACAUGGAAAAAGCCUGGGAGUCCCAGAUGUGGGCCAUCUCUUCAAGGAAUUUGUCAUCUCCUGGGGGACUCCAGGGCCCAGAGCACAGCUGCUUCAAAGGUGGGUUCCCUGUGGCAUUGCCAUGUCCUUUGCAUUUGGCAAAGUGUCUGGUCCUAGCUAAAAAAAAUGGAACACACACCGGCUGUGGCUGCUGCAAGAGGAGACAUGUAUAUCACUCCCAGCUCCUGCUUCCUCUCCACACACAUGCACACACCACCCCACACACCACACACACACACCACAUGUACACACACACACCCACACACCCACACACCCACACAUGCACACACCACCCCACACACCACACACACACACCACAUGUACACACACACCCACACACCCACACACCCACACAUGCACACACCACCCCACACACCACACACACACACCACAUGUACACACACACCCACACACCCACACACCCACACAUGCACACACCACCCCACACACCACACACACACACCACAUGUACACACACACACCCACACACCCUCACACCCACACAUGCACACACCACCCCACACACCACACACACACACCACACAUGUACACACACACCC